RNAcentral lists this long non-coding RNA (1615 nucleotides) under Volvox carteri. RNAcentral's name for it is "long non-coding RNA (VCAR_LNC000203)". The record is from RNAcentral. Lineage: Eukaryota; Viridiplantae; Chlorophyta; Chlorophyceae; Chlamydomonadales; Volvocaceae.
GCAACUGUUGGCAUCCCACUCCGACACUAGCUCAUAACACCUGAGAUCCAGGUCGUAGGAGACAGGACCAGAGGAUUACAGCCAUAAUAAAGGGUACAUCGUAAUGUCUCUGCCUAGAUACGAUACGGAUAGUCAAAGCGUAGAAGAAUCGGUGGGGCAGCAACAAGCCGCAGCGCAUAACCUGCCUAUGGAGUACAUGACUAAAAGCGGAUAGGAUUCUAGAUUGCAAAUAGGAUGCUGCCUGGCGUGCUGCCUGGCGUGCUGCCUCGCGUGUGCUGCCAGGCAGUAGCACUGACGCCUCGCACAAAACAAAGAGUCGACAUUGAAAGUUGCCACACGCAAUUCCCAGCUUGACAAGAAAGGAAGCCAGUUACCCACGCAGUCACUGAAUGCUAAUGGACACGCCGUCACCGCUGACUUCAACGCCAUCUGUUAGGACGAGACAACGGUCUCGAGGUCUGUCGCGUUGGCUCUUCGUGAAGCUCUGCAGAAUGAACUUGAGUUCCCUGACCUUUUCAACCGGGCUAACCUGUGGUUGGGCAUUCCACCAACCUGGAUUUGUGCGUGUGUAUGGGAGGUUGUAUGCCUUGCGGCCAUCAGCUCACUCAAUCUCGGUCGCCGUUUGUUGUUUAGGGAAGGUCUCCAGACCAACAUGCCUAUAUCAACGCCAUCGCUUAACCGCAUUACUUACGAGGUUAUCUCUGACUUUUGGGCCCGUUUAACUGCUUUUGCGGCACGGGACUACUUGCCAAAACAUUGGGAUCAUGUACCUCACAAUCACCCUUUCUUAUAUGUCAAUGACGCAGACAUGGUUGUUUGCCGUUUACCGAUAUACAAUGACGAAGUUUGAGGGCGCACGUCGGAGCCUCAAUUUUCUGUUUAAGCGUACUAACUGAGGCCGUGUGUCCAGUGAAGUUAGUACGGCCUGGCCGAGUUCUUUUUGAAUAAGGCCCACAGUGUUGUGCGGGAGGCGCUCCUAUGGGCGCUGCACUCGACCCGUUCGGGGUCCACUGUAACAAUCGCAUCUCGAGGUCUGCGCCGUCUGUGCGGUGACUUAACGAAAACCGAAUUUCCUGAAAUCGCUCGUGCGAAACAUCACGGUGGUUACAUAUGCCGCCACUUCACUUAGCAACAUCAGCUAUAUCACCCUCUUAAAUCGUGCGUGAAGACGCAGGAUAACUCAAAGGGCUCGCUGAUUUACGAUUUAUUCAAUUAGGAUACCUGACUAUAGUACCACGUGAAUAUGGGUGGCUCUCGCCGAAAAUUGAAAAGGAACGCGCCGAAGGUUCGGAAUGGGUUAGUGAAACGCAAAAGAGACCAGAAGACGAAGCUUCCUGUGGAUAUUGCGUUUAACGACCCGGCGCUGGAGCAGAGGCUGAAGAAAAAGUGGGUAUUUGGCCGCCAUCGUUGCACCAUUGCCUGCCUCUGCGUGUUUUGUGACUGGCAAGCGCAUAGGUGGUUCCAAUAAGUACAGAAUGGCUAUCUGCUUAACUCGACACGCGACUGACCUAACGUCCUAGACCUGAUGCCCAACCAGGGUUCAUGCUCUACCACCAUCCGUCCGCCGUCAUGUUGAACUGUCCCACAACAGUGUGCCGCCAUAGCCUUGAGUAUG